Molecule: long non-coding RNA, 1768 nt
Organism: Meleagris gallopavo (turkey)
Lineage: Eukaryota; Metazoa; Chordata; Aves; Galliformes; Phasianidae
Source: Ensembl
GGGGUGAUGGGGUGGUGUGGGGCACAUGGGGUGACAUGGGAAUAUGGAGUAUAUGGGGUGAUGUGGGGUAAUGUGGGGCACGUGGGGUGGCACUGAGAUGUGGGGCACACGGGGAUAUGGGGUGUAUGGGGUGAUGUGGGGAAACACACGGGUUGGCACUGGGAUGUGGGACGGGGGGUGGCGCUGGGAUUUGGGGCACAUGGGGUGACGUGGGGACCUGGGACGUGUGGGGUGGCACAGGGGAAUGGGGCACAUGGGGUGGCGCUGGGAUUUGGGGCACCAGGAGGCGAUGUGGGGACCAGGGAUGUGUGGGGUGGCACAUGGGGUGGCACUGGGGUUUGGGGCACAGGAGGUGACGUGGGGACCUGGGACUUGUGGGGUGGCACAGGGGAACGGGGCAUGUGGGGACCUGGGACCCACAGACAUGAGCACAGGGGGUGGCACAGGGGUUUGGGGCACAGGAGGUGACGUGGGGACCUGGGAUGUGUGGGGUGGCACAUGGGGUGGCACUGGGAUUUGCGGCACCAGGAGGUGAUGUGGGGACCUGGGACGUGUGGGGUGGCACAGGGGAACGAGGCAUGUGGGGACCUGGGACCCACAGACAUGGGCACAGGGGUUUGGGGCACAGGAGGUGACGUGGGGACCUGGGACGUGUGGGGUGGCACAUGGGGUGGCACUGGGAUCUGGGGCACCAGGAGGCGACAUGGGGACCAGGGAUGUGUGGGGCGGCACAGGGGUUUGGGGCACAUGGGGACCUGGACACGGGCACAUGGGGUGGCACAGGGAUUUGGGGCACAGGGGGUGACGUGGGGAUCUGGGACUUGCGGGGUGGCACAUGGGGUGGCACUGGGAUCUGGGACGCACUGGUUGCCACAUGGGGUGGUGCAGGGAUUUGGGGCACCAGGAGGUGGCAUGGGGACCUGGGACGUGUGGGGUGGCACAUGGGGUUUGGGGCACAGUGGGUGGCACUGGGAUUUGGAGCACCAGGAGGUGACGUGGGGAUCUGGGAUGUGUGGGGCGGCACAGGGAUCUGGGGCGCAUGGGGUGGCACAGGGGUUUGGGGCACAGGAGGUGACAUGGGGACCUGGGACGUGUGGGGUGGCACAUGGGGUGGCAACAGGGGUUUGGGGCACAGUGGGUGGCACUGGGAUCUGGGGCACAGGAGGUGAUGUGCGGACCAGGGAUGUGUGGGGUGGCACAUGGGGUGGCACUGGGAUCUGGGGCACCAGGAGGUGGGGAUGUGUGGGACGUGUGGGGUGGCACUGGGAAUGGGACACAUGGGGACCUGGACACGGGCACAUGGGGUGGCACAGGGAUCUGGGGCACCAGGAGGUGAUGUGGGGACCUGGGACGUGUGGGGUGGCACAUGGGAACGGGGCAUGUGGGGACCUGGGACCCACAGACAUGGGCACAUGGGGUGGCACAGGGUUUAGGGCACAGGAGGUGGCAUGGGGACCUGGGACGUGUGGGGUGGCACAUGGGGUGGCACAUGGGAACGGGGCACAGUGGGUGGCACUGGGAUCUGGGGCACAGGAGGUGACGUGGGGACCUGGGACGUGUGGGGUGGCACAGGGGUUUGGAGCACAGGAGGUGACAUGGGGACCUGGGACGUGUGGGGUGGCACAUGGGGUGGCGCUGGGAUCUGGGGCACCAGGAGGCGACGUGGGGACGUGGGACGUGUGGGCACGGUGACACGGGGUGGCACAGGGACGCGCUGGCGGCCACGAGGGGUGGCAGAGGGGCACAGCAACCCUCACGUGUUGUCCCC